GGGGAAGGCCAGGCAGAGGCGCUCUUGGGAAGAGGGCGAGGUUCUCCGGACAGUGGGCGGGACUAGAGAGGCCACCUGCAGACACACCCUGGCUUCUCCUGGUCCCUCUUCCCUCCCUUCCCCCUCGGGGCACAGAGACGAUCCACACGUGGGGUCUCCGAGCUCUAGGGUCCUUUUACGUAGCAUAGUCAGGCCUGGGAUCAGAACGUCAUGUUCUUGCUAAAAGUCUCGGUGUGUCCUAGUUGUUUUAGAGACUUGGAGAGGAAUGGGGGUAAAAAAAAACCCCAAAACCCGAGAACUAUCGCGCCAAGAGAAGUCAGGAUUCUAGGAAGCCUAGGACGCCAAACAAAUGGAGACCAAAAAACAAGACGGGAGGACUGGAGACGAAGCAGGCAAAAAGUCAUCAGCCACGGCUGUUGUACGGUGUGUUUCACCUCUCCUACCAAGCCUUCAUCCCUGUCUAUGAGGACGAAGAAGUUACCGGGGAAAUUGGUGAUGGGCCUGGCUGUCCUGGAGAAUGCUCUUGAUUAAGUUGGUGAUAGAAAACGGGAGAACUGAAGACAAGCACUUUAUAAACUCCCUUGUCUGCUUGAAUUUGUAGUGCUGGUAAGUUCUGUAUUUUUUAAUCCAUGAGUAGCCUGUAAUUGUUACUUCUAAAACCACAGAAGUUAAAGAGGAAGCAUUAAAAAUAUUAUACAAUCUAUGGCUAGGUGUGGUUUCUGUGACUUCAAUUCCAGCACCCAGGAGUCAGAGACAGAUAGAUGGAUGUCUGAGUUCAAGGCACCCCUGGACUACAUAGUGAG
Molecule: long non-coding RNA, 803 nt
Filed under: Rattus norvegicus (Norway rat)
Lineage: Eukaryota; Metazoa; Chordata; Mammalia; Rodentia; Muridae
Description: long non-coding RNA NONRATT033901
Source: RNAcentral